GAUGAACGCUGGCGGCGUGCUUAACACAUGCAAGUCGAACGGAAAGGCUCCUGCUUGCAGGGGUACUCGAGUGGCGAACGGGUGAGUAACACGUGGGUGAUCUGCCCUGCACUUCGGGAUAAGCCUGGGAAACUGGGUCUAAUACCGGAUAGGACCACAUUUUGGAUGGUGUGGUGGAAAGUUUUUCGGUGUGGGAUGAGCUCGCGGCCUAUCAGCUUGUUGGUGGGGUAAUGGCCUACCAAGGCGUCGACGGGUAGCCGGCCUGAGAGGGUGUACGGCCACAUUGGGACGGAGAUACGGCCCAGACCCCUACGGGAGGAAGCAGUGGGGAAUAUUGCACAAUGGGCGCAAGCCUGAUGCAGCGACGCCGCGUGGGGGAUGACGGCCUUCGGGUUGUAAACUCCUUUCGCUAGGGACGAAGCGUUUUUGUGACGGUACCUGGAGAAGAAGCACCGGCUAACUACGCG
Molecule: ribosomal RNA, 467 nt
Filed under: uncultured bacterium
Lineage: Bacteria
Description: partial 16S ribosomal RNA
Rfam family: Bacterial small subunit ribosomal RNA
Source: RNAcentral